UCCUUAGUGGCUCAGAUGGUAAAGCGUCUGCCUACAAUGCAGGAAUCUGGGUUUGAUUCCUGGGUCAGGAG
RNAcentral lists this transfer RNA (71 nucleotides) under Bos taurus (domestic cattle). It matches the Rfam family "tRNA". Rfam says of the family: Transfer RNA (tRNA) molecules are approximately 80 nucleotides in length. Their secondary structure includes four short double-helical elements and three loops (D, anti-codon, and T loops). Further hydrogen bonds mediate the characteristic L-shaped molecular structure. tRNAs have two regions of fundamental functional importance: the anti-codon, which is responsible for specific mRNA codon recognition, and the 3' end, to which the tRNAs corresponding amino acid is attached (by aminoacyl-tRNA synthetases). tRNAs cope with the degeneracy of the genetic code in two manners: having more than one tRNA (with a specific anti-codon) for a particular amino acid; and 'wobble' base-pairing, i.e. permitting non-standard base-pairing at the 3rd anti-codon position. The record is from Rfam by way of RNAcentral. Lineage: Eukaryota; Metazoa; Chordata; Mammalia; Artiodactyla; Bovidae. RNAcentral also lists the same sequence under 3 other names.